Molecule: long non-coding RNA, 1272 nt
Filed under: Parus major (Great Tit)
Lineage: Eukaryota; Metazoa; Chordata; Aves; Passeriformes; Paridae
Description: lncRNA (ENSPMJG00000003070.1)
Source: RNAcentral
AUGCUCCGGAAUUCCCAGGCUCCCACACGUCCGGGGUGGAAUAAAGCUGUGGAUGUUGGGGAUUACGGGAUUAUCCCGGUGUUUUGGGGGAAUCCAACACCUUCCAUCUGCUCCUGUCCAGCCUUGAGCACCUCCAGGGAUGGGGCAGCCCCAGAUUCCCGGGAUAACUCGUGCCAGAGCCUCAGCACCCUGACAGGGAACGAGGAAUUCCAAAUAUCCGGCCUCGAUCUCUCGUGUUUUAAUUCAAAACCGCGUUUUCCAUCUCCUGGGAUUCUCCAUCCCUGGGAUUCUUCAUCCCUGGGAUUCUUCAUCCCUGGAUUCUCCAUCCCUGGGAUUCUCCAUCCCUGGGAUUCUUCAUCNUUCAUCCCUGGGAUUCUUCAUCCCUGGAUUCUCCAUCCCUGGGAUUCUCCAUCCCUGGGAUUCUUCAUCCCUGGGAUUCUUCAUCCCUGGAUUCUUCAUCCCUGGGAUUCUCCAUCCCUGGGAUUCUCCAUCUCCCAGGUUCUCCAUCUCCCGGGUUCUCCAUCCCUGGGAUUCUCUAUCCCUGGGAUUCUUCAUCCCUGGGAUUCUUCAUCCCUGGGUUCUCCAUCUCCCAGGUUCUCCAUCCCUGGGAUUCUUCAUCCCUGGGUUCUUCAUGUGGUGAAUCCCAUUCCCGGGAUCCCUGGGCACAUUCUGGGAUCUCUGGGCACAUUCCCGGGUCCCUGGGCUCAUUCCCGGGUCCCUGGGCUCAUUCCCGGAUCCCCGGGCACAUUCCCGGGAUCCCCAGGCACAUUCCCGGGAUCCCCAGGCACAUUCCCGGGAUCUCUGGGCACAUUCCCGGAUCCCCAGGCACAUUCCCGGGAUCUCUGGGCACAUUCCCGGAUCCCCAGGCACAUUCCCGGAUCCCCGGGCACAUUCCCGGAUCCCUGGGCACAUUCCCGGGAUCUCUGGGCACAUUCCCGGAUCCCUGGGCACAUUCCCGGAUCCCCGGGCACAUUCCCGGAUCCCUGGGCACAUUCCCGGAUCCCUGGGCACAUUCCCGGAUCCCUGGGCACAUUCCCGGGUCCCCAGGCACAUUCCCGGGUCCCCAGGCACAUUCCCGGGUCCCCGGCUGUUCGCGGCUCGUUCUCGCCGUGUUCCGAGCGCUCCCGGGGCGGCUCCUCCGCCGGUCCCAGCCCGGGGCCGCGGUUCUUUCGGGACCGGCAGGGGCGGAUCCCGGCGGCGGCGGCCCCGAGCCUCGUUUUUGGGAGGGAAAGAGUUAAAAUUCCAGGGGAGGGAAGGAGCUUCCAUGAAUGA